This 86-nucleotide transfer RNA is filed under the name Armatimonadota bacterium. RNAcentral's name for it is "Armatimonadetes bacterium (activated sludge metagenome) tRNA-Leu". It matches the Rfam family "tRNA". From Rfam's summary of the family: Transfer RNA (tRNA) molecules are approximately 80 nucleotides in length. Their secondary structure includes four short double-helical elements and three loops (D, anti-codon, and T loops). Lineage: Bacteria; Bacillati; Armatimonadota. The record is from RNAcentral.
GCCGGGGUGGCGGAAUGGUAGACGCGGCGGUCUCAAACACCGUUGAGCUAAAACUCGUGAGGGUUCGAGUCCCUCCCCCGGCACCA